Paramisgurnus dabryanus is the source of this 429-nucleotide non-coding RNA. The record is from RefSeq and is a predicted model, not a curated record. Lineage: Eukaryota; Metazoa; Chordata; Actinopteri; Cypriniformes; Cobitidae.
AUGCAACAGGUUCCAGGGCCUCUUACCUGCGUGAUUCAUCAUCCAGGUUUUGCACAAAUUGUCUAAAUCCCUACACACAGAACAUUUAUUGUACCGACUAUAAGCCUUUGAGGUGCAGGACUAGAAUAUGCUUGGAGCUUCCUGAUCAGAUCGGUCACAAUUUUGGCUUUCGACGACCCCUGCACUGAAGAUGGCAUGCAAUCACGUCCUCCUUUGAAGGUCUCUCAAACUGUGAUGCCAGGUCCAUUGGAAUCGGGGUUUCCUUCAGCUUAUCUUCAAAUACCUCAUCAAACACAAGCCUGAUCACAUCAUCCACAUAACUGUAGAAAUAUUGCAGUCAAUAAAUCUUUUGUUUUGAUCAUUUAUUUCCCUGCUUCAUACAUUAAGUUUUUAAUUAUGAAUGUAUUUGAAAUAAAACAUUACUGCUUA